CUAGAUUCCGUGAAAUGUGCUCUAGUUUGUACUCGUUUUGUGUAAAAAAUACAGUUUCUGAUGCACCACAAACUGAUAUAUACAAGCUAAAAAUCACAUAUUAUGAUCAUCUUGCUUCAUAAUGUAGAGUUUGAAUAGGAUAAAACGGGUACAAAAGUGAUAAUAUUCCAUAUAAUCUCGAAGAUUCCACUAAAUUUGAGGAGUUGAGGGGGUA
Molecule: long non-coding RNA, 214 nt
Filed under: Erythranthe guttata (spotted monkey flower)
Lineage: Eukaryota; Viridiplantae; Streptophyta; Magnoliopsida; Lamiales; Phrymaceae
Description: long non-coding RNA (EGUT_LNC001337)
Source: RNAcentral